GUUAGGAUGGCCAAGUGGUCUAAGGCACCAGACUCAAGGCACAACCUUGCCCAUGAGCACUCUGGUCUCCACAUGGAGGUAUGGGCUCAAAUCUCACUUCUGACA
Molecule: transfer RNA, 105 nt
Filed under: Heterocephalus glaber (naked mole-rat)
Lineage: Eukaryota; Metazoa; Chordata; Mammalia; Rodentia; Bathyergidae
Rfam family: tRNA
About the family: Transfer RNA (tRNA) molecules are approximately 80 nucleotides in length.
Source: Rfam by way of RNAcentral